Molecule: ribosomal RNA, 338 nt
Filed under: uncultured bacterium
Lineage: Bacteria
Description: partial 16S ribosomal RNA
Rfam family: Bacterial small subunit ribosomal RNA
Source: RNAcentral
CCUACGGGAGGCAGCAGUGAGGAAUAUUGGUCAAUGGGCUUACGCCUGAACCAGCCAAGUCGCGUGAGGGAAGACUGCCCUAUGGGUUGUAAACCUCUUUUGUCAGGGAGCAAUUGGCGCUACGUGUAGCGUUAUCGUGAGUACCUGAAGAAAAAGCAUCGGCUAACUCCGUGCCAGCAGCCGCGGUAAUACGGGGGAUGCGAGCGUUAUCCUGAUUUAUUGUGUUUAAAGGGUGCGUAGGCGGAAUGCCAAGUCAGCGGAAAACUCGCGGGGCUCAACCUCGCUCCGCCGUUGAAACGGGCGUUCUUGAGUGGGCGAGAGGUAUGCGGAAUGCGUGG